AUUUCGAAGACAACUAGGAUGUUGGCUCAGAAGCAGCCACACAUUCAAAGAGUGCGUAAUAGCUCACUAGUCGAGAGGUCCUGCGCCGAAAAUGUCCGGGGCUAAAACACAACACCGAAGCUUAGGAAUUCUUUUGAAUUGGUAGAGGAGCAUUGAAGACGGAACGAAGCCAUACCGUAAGGAAUGGUGGACUGUCUUGAAGAGAGAAUGCCGGAAUGAGUAGCGAGAUUGAAGUGAGAAUCUUCAAGGCCGAAUAUCUAAGGUUUCCAGGGUAAAGCUGAUCUGCCCUGGGUAAGUCGGGGCCUAAGGCAAGGUCGAAAGACGUAGUCGAUGGAUAACAGGUUGAAAUUCCUGUACUGCAUCAAAUCAGAAAUGUGGGGACACAUGAGGGAAGCAUGAGCCGGAAAAGGAAAGUCCGGUACAAGCGCAGCAGAGGACAGAUAGGCAAAACCGUCUGUCAACUCGAGGGCGUGAUGUGGAGCGAACCAAAGUAGCGAAGCAUGUGGAGCUUGUGUCGAGAAAAGCCGCUAUAGUGUUUGAUGUACCCGUACCGUAAACCGACACAGGUGGAUGAGGAGAGAAUCCUAAGGCCGGCGGGAGAAGCAUUGUUAAGGAACUCGGCAAAAUGACCCCGUAACUUCGGGAGAAGGGGUGCCCACUGCAGGGUGGGCCGCAGAGAAUAGGCUCAAGCAACUGUUUAGCAAAAACACAGGUCUAUGCGAAACCGAAAGGUGAGGUAUAUGGGCUGACGCCUGCCCGGUGCUGGAAGGUUAAGAGGAGAGGUUAGCGCAAGCGAAGCUUUGAAUUUAAGCCCCAGUAAACGGCGGCCGUAACUAUAACGGUCCUAAGGUAGCGAAAUUCCUUGUCGGGUAAGUUCCGACCCGCACGAAAGGCGUAAUGAUUUGGGCACUGUCUCGACAAUGCACCCGGUGAAAUUGAAAUACCAGUGAAGAUGCUGGUUACCUGCGCCAGGACGGAAAGACCCCAUGGAGCUUUACUCUAGCUUGAUACUGGGAUUCGGUAUUGCAUGUACAGGAUAGGUGGGAGACUAAGAGGUGAUGACGCCAGUUGUCACGGAGUCGAUGUUGGGAUACCACCCCUGCAGUACUGGGUUUCUAACCUGCGGCCGUGACCCGGCCGGGGGACAAUGUCUGGUGGGGAGUUUGACUGGGGCGGUCGCCUCCGAAAGAGUAUCGGAGGCGCUCAAAGGUUCCCUCAGAAUGGUUGGAAACCAUUCGAAGAGUGCAAAGGCAGAAGGGAGCUUGACUGCGACACCGACGGGUGGAGCAGGUACGAAAGUAGGACUUAGUGAUCCGGUGGUAUAAAGUGGGAUUGCCAUCGCUCAACGGAUAAAAGCUACCCUGGGGAUAACAGGCUUAUCACUCCCAAGAGUUCACAUCGACGGAGUGGUUUGGCACCUCGAUGUCGGCUCAUCGCAUCCUGGGGCUGUAGCAGGUCCCAAGGGUUGGGCUGUUCGCCCAUUAAAGCGGUACGCGAGCUGGGUUCAGAACGUCGUGAGACAGUUCGGUCCCUAUCCGGCGUGGGCGUAGGAUAUCUGAGAGGAGCUGUCCUUAGUACGAGAGGACCGGGAUGGACUGACCUCUGGUGCACCGGUUGCAUUGCCAAAUGCAUAGCCGGGUAGCCAAGUCGGGACGGGAUAAACGCUGAAGGCAUCUAAGCGUGAAGCCCCCCUCAAGAUGAGAUAUCCCAUAACGUAAGUUAGUAAGACCCCUUGA
This 1736-nucleotide ribosomal RNA is filed under the name human gut metagenome. RNAcentral describes it as "bacterial LSU rRNA". It matches the Rfam family "Bacterial large subunit ribosomal RNA", at positions 1080 to 2841 of the family's 2925-position model. The record is from RNAcentral.